Cyprinodon tularosa is the source of this 709-nucleotide long non-coding RNA. RefSeq lists it as uncharacterized. NCBI's taxonomy places the organism in Eukaryota, Metazoa, Chordata, Actinopteri, Cyprinodontiformes, Cyprinodontidae. The record is from RefSeq and is a predicted model, not a curated record. The transcript has 3 exons.
UGCUUUCACUAGCUUGCUAACUCAGAUAUGAACUUCAGGGCAGUUAAAUCAUUUUCUGUCACUUUUAUAGUCUGCAGACUUUCACUCAGUCGAUUUAUUAAACAUUAAAAAUCCACAUUACGGAUCUAACUCACUCAGAGACAGUAAAAAAAGAUGGAGGAAUAAGACGAAGUACACUAAAGUGUGGAGAGGCAGCCUAGUGUUUAGGAAUCCUGAGGUUCUGAGUUGGAACCCCACUCCCACUGACUGCCACUCUGGGUGUCUGAGCAAUACCCUGAACCCCACACCGCUCUCCAGGAGCCACAUAAUGGCAGCCCACUGUUGACCAAGGGAAGAGCAGAUGCCAAACAGUGCAGAGACAGAGCAGUCCUCCUGCAGGGCAUCUCCUUGUAUGGCUGUGCCUCUACAGCAUGGCGCUGCUCAGCCACCAGCCACUACAGCCUCUCUUUUAUACACAAAUAAGUGGUGUCAUCACUCUUUGCAUUGUCACUCUCCUCCCCCCUCUGUUUGUGUCCGUGGCAUACGGCCAGUGAGCCUCUCAGAGAAAGACGAGGCUGCACCAACUGUUGCUCCUCCAUACUUCAAAGACUGUUUAAAUAAAAGUUAGGUACUGCUGGCAAGUUUGAAGAAAACCUGAAAAAAAAAAACGAUUGAUAAAGAACAGUCGGUCAAAGUUCUGAUGAUCUACGCAGGACUCAUUUUAGUUUAC